CCUACUGGGCACCAACUGACGCUGAGGCUCGAAAGUGUGGGUAGCAAACAGGAUUAGAUACCCUGGUAGUCCACACUGUAAACGAUGAUUACUAGGUGUUGGAGGAUUGACCCCUUCAGUGCCGCAGUUAACACAAUAAGUAAUCCACCUGGGGAGUACGACCGCAAGGUUGAAACUCAAAGGAAUUGACGGGGGCCCGCACAAGCAGUGGAGUAUGUGGUUUAAUUCGACGCAACGCGAAGAACCUUACCAAGUCUUGACAUCCCUUGACGAUGCUGGAAACAGUAUUUCUCUUCGGAGCAAGGAGACAGGUGGUGCAUGGUUGUCGUCAGCUCGUGUCGUGAGAUGUUGGGUUAAGUCCCGCAACGAGCGCAACCCUUAUGGUCAGUUACUACGCAAGAGGACUCUGGCCAGACUGCCGUUGACAAAACGGAGGAAGGUGGGGAUGACGUCAAAUCAUCAUGCCCUUUAUGACUUGGGCUACACACGUACUACAAUGGCGUUAAACAAAGAGAAGCAAGACCGCGAGGUGGAGCAAAACUCAGAAACAACGUCCCAGUUCGGACUGCAGGCUGCAACUCGCCUGCACGAAGUCGGAAUUGCUAGUAAUCGCAGAUCAGCAUGCUGCGGUGAAUACGUUCCCGGGCCUUGUACACACCGCCCGUCACACCAUGAGAGCCGGGGGGACCCGAAGUCGGUAGUCUAACCGCAAGGAGGACGCCGCCGAAGGUAAAACUGGUGAUUGG
RNAcentral lists this ribosomal RNA (746 nucleotides) under uncultured organism. Its description in RNAcentral is "SSU rRNA". It matches the Rfam family "Bacterial small subunit ribosomal RNA", at positions 725 to 1478 of the family's 1533-position model. The record is from RNAcentral.